RNAcentral lists this ribosomal RNA (447 nucleotides) under uncultured bacterium. RNAcentral describes it as "bacterial SSU rRNA". It matches the Rfam family "Bacterial small subunit ribosomal RNA", at positions 355 to 825 of the family's 1533-position model. The record is from RNAcentral.
UGGGGAAUAUUGGACAAUGGGCGCAAGCCUGAUCCAGCCAUGCCGCGUGAGUGACGAAGGUCUUCGGAUUGUAAAGCUCUUUUGGCGGGGAAGAUAAUGACGGUACCCGCAGAAUAAGCUCCGGCUAACUUCGUGCCAGCAGCCGCGGUAAUACGAAGGGAGCUAGCGUUGUUCGGAAUCACUGGGCGUAAAGCGCACGUAGGUGGGCAGUUAAGUCAGGGGUGAAAGCCCGAGGCUCAACCUCGGAAUUGCCUCUGAUACUGGCUGUCUAGAGUUCGAGAGAGGUGAGUGGAAUUCCUAGUGUAGAGGUGAAAUUCGUAGAUAUUAGGAAGAACACCGGUGGCGAAGGCGGCUCACUGGCUCGAUACUGACACUGAGGUGCGAAAGCGUGGGGAGCAAACAGGAUUAGAUACCCCAGUAGUCCCUGAGCGGGCUGGCAAGGCGCAU